RNAcentral lists this ribosomal RNA (719 nucleotides) under uncultured bacterium. Its description in RNAcentral is "bacterial SSU rRNA". It matches the Rfam family "Bacterial small subunit ribosomal RNA", at positions 8 to 722 of the family's 1533-position model. The record is from RNAcentral.
AGAGUUUGAUCAUGGCUCAGAUUGAACGCUGGCGGCAUGCUUUACACAUGCAAGUCGAACGGCAGCGGGGGCUUCGGCCUGCCGGCGAGUGGCGAACGGGUGAGUAAUGCAUCGGAACGUACCCAGUCGUGGGGGAUAGCUCGGCGAAAGCCGGAUUAAUACCGCAUACGCCCUGUGGGGGAAAGCGGGGGACCUUCGGGCCUCGCGCGAUUGGAGCGGCCGAUGUCGGAUUAGCUAGUUGGUGGGGUAAAGGCCUACCAAGGCGACGAUCCGUAGCUGGUCUGAGAGGAUGAUCAGCCACACUGGGACUGAGACACGGCCCAGACUCCUACGGGAGGCAGCAGUGGGGAAUUUUGGACAAUGGGGGCAACCCUGAUCCAGCCAUGCCGCGUGAGUGAAGAAGGCCUUCGGGUUGUAAAGCUCUUUCAGGUGGGAAGAAAUCGCGCGGGCGAAUAUCUCGUGCGGAUGACGGUACCACCAGAAGAAGCACCGGCUAACUACGUGCCAGCAGCCGCGGUAAUACGUAGGGUGCGAGCGUUAAUCGGAAUUACUGGGCGUAAAGCGUGCGCAGGCGGUUGUGUAAGACAGGUGUGAAAUCCCCGGGCUUAACCUGGGAACUGCGCUUGUGACUGCACGGCUAGAGUACGGCAGAGGGGGGUGGAAUUCCACGUGUAGCAGUGAAAUGCGUAGAUAUGUGGAGGAACACCGAUGGCGAAGGC